RNAcentral lists this transfer RNA (72 nucleotides) under Candidatus Pacearchaeota archaeon. Its description in RNAcentral is "tRNA-Val". It matches the Rfam family "tRNA". From Rfam's summary of the family: Transfer RNA (tRNA) molecules are approximately 80 nucleotides in length. The record is from RNAcentral. Lineage: Archaea; Nanobdellati. RNAcentral also lists the same sequence under 1 other name.
GGUCCUGUAGUCCAACGGCUAAGACGGCUCGUUUACACCGAGUAGACCGAGGUUCGAUUCCUCGCAGGACCA